RNAcentral lists this ribosomal RNA (429 nucleotides) under Gemmatimonadota bacterium. RNAcentral describes it as "Gemmatimonadetes bacterium partial 16S ribosomal RNA". It matches the Rfam family "Bacterial small subunit ribosomal RNA", at positions 355 to 776 of the family's 1533-position model. The record is from RNAcentral. Lineage: Bacteria; Pseudomonadati; Gemmatimonadota.
UAGGGAAUCUUCGGCAAUGGACGAAAGUCUGACCGAGCAACGCCGCGUGAGUGAAGAAGGUUUUCGGAUCGUAAAACUCUGUUGUUAGAGAAGAACAAGGACGUUAGUAACUGAACGUCCCCUGACGGUAUCUAACCAGAAAGCCACGGCUAACUACGUGCCAGCAGCCGCGGUAAUACGUAGGUGGCAAGCGUUGUCCGGAUUGAUUGGGCGUAAAGCGAGCGCAGGCGGUUUCUUAAGUCUGAUGUGAAAGCCCCCGGCUCAACCGGGGAGGGGCAUUGGAAACUGGGAGACUUGAGUGCAGAAGAGGAGAGUGGAAUUCCAUGUGUAGCGGUGAAAUGCGUAGAUAUAUGGAGGAACACCAGUGGCGAAGGCGGCUCUCUGGUCUGUAACUGACGCUGAGGCUCGAAAGCGUGGGGAGCAAACAGG